GCAACCUUCACAGGCUGAUAGAGAUUGAGUGAUAACAGACACUGGAGACCCUCCAAGCGAUGGCUGGUGACCGCCUGCCACCAUCCACAGGCUGUCACACAAGGAGCCCUGGGAGUAACCUUGCUGGAAGCCCCGCGGGCCGCAGUGUGUGGCUGGCGUUAUACAGCCCCCAGCCAUUGCCUGGAGGGCAUCCAGUGUCUGUUAUCACUCACCUUAGGUAGUCUGUGAAGGUCCAGUCAUCACUGGUGCACGUGUAUCUUACCUGUGAUCAACACCGGCAGCCACAGACUCCUGCCCAAGGAACGAACACAGUGAUCGUGAUGACAUUGACAACAACGAGCAAGUCCUCCUAGACCUAGAGUGACCUCAAGCUGGGCCAAACAUGAUGUGGAAGAAGAAAUCAGUUGUCUCCAUCAGUCAGGUUUGUGCCAUGGCAGCUUUCUCCAGCUGUCCAGCAGAGGUCCAGUCCAUGCCAUGAUGAAAUUCAGCCCCCAACAAUGAGAUGGCAUGCCAGAGAUGGAUCCGCAGCUUCUCCUCCAAUCAAUCAAUCCUUGCAAUGCCUUUUCUCUUUUCUCUCCUUCUGUACCACCAUGCUUACACAUAACUGAUCCAAGGUACUGAAACUCAUUACCCUCCUCCAUUUCUUCACCAUUCAAAAUUAUUUGGCAUUCUUUUUCACAUUCAAUGCCCACUCUAUAUGGGCAUACAAACUCUACAACCUCCCUUCUACUCCGCUCACAAACCAUCACUUUACUUUUGUUGACAUUUACUUUCAACUUUCUCCUUUUACAUACACUAUCAAAAACACUGACCAAAUUUUGUAAGUCACUUUCAUUUUCUGCAAUGAGCACCGUGUCAUCAGCAAAGAAGAUUGAAUUCAUCACCCACUUCCUUCCCUCCCUCAGCAUACAUUUUUACUUCAAUUUCCCCAACUUUGCCCUUCAUUUCUCAUAACACCAUCCAUAUAAAUAUUGAACAACCACGAUGACAUGACACACCCCUGCCUUAGCCCACUUUCAUCUCAAAAUGUUCACUUGUUUCUCCGCUAAUUUUGACACAUGCAGAUGCAUCCUCAUAGAAAGACUUUAUUGCAUAAAGCAGUUUUCCUCCCACACCAUAUAUCUUUAAGACGUCCCACAAUGCCAGCCAAUCGACUCUGUCAUAAACUUUCUUUAGAAUAACUAGAUCCAUGAAGGCAGCAUAGUAUUUUUUCCUUUUGCUAAUAUUUUUUCUAAUAAAACACCAUCCUGAAGGAAAAUAUCUGAUCCACACAUCCUCUUCCCUUCCUAAAGUCUCCUUGUUCUUCACUGAUUUUCUCUUCUGUAAGUCUUUGCGCAGUCUCAAUUAGGACUUUUCCAUAUACCUUUCCGGGUAGCCUACACUCAGCAGACUUUUACCCCUACAACUCCCACCUCCCCUCUCCUGCCCUUCCCCUUGUAAACUGGGACCAUGAUGGCUUUUAUCAAGUCUGCUGGGACCUCCCACCCCCCCUUCCCAGGCCACUUCACAUAUCUUGACCAUUCAUAUAGUAACUUCAUCUCCACACUUCAACAUUUCUGCUGU
Eriocheir sinensis (Chinese mitten crab) is the source of this 1563-nucleotide long non-coding RNA. RefSeq lists it as uncharacterized. The transcript is spliced from 3 exons. NCBI's taxonomy places the organism in Eukaryota, Metazoa, Arthropoda, Malacostraca, Decapoda, Varunidae. The record is from RefSeq and is a predicted model, not a curated record.